This 400-nucleotide RNase P RNA is filed under the name Nitrospinota bacterium. RNAcentral describes it as "RNase P RNA component class A". It matches the Rfam family "Bacterial RNase P class A". From Rfam's summary of the family: Ribonuclease P (RNase P) is a ubiquitous endoribonuclease, found in archaea, bacteria and eukarya as well as chloroplasts and mitochondria. The record is from RNAcentral. Lineage: Bacteria; Pseudomonadati; Nitrospinota.
AGAGGCCGGGGGACGGCCGUCGGCCCGCGUAAGCGGGCGGGAGGAAAGUCCGGACGCCGCAGAGCAGGGCGCUCUUUAACGGAGAGCGGGGGCGACCCCAGGGAAAGCGCAACAGAAAAGAUACCGCCCCGCCUUCUUAAUUGAAGGCGAGGUAAGGGUGAAAUGGCGAGGUAAGAGCUCACCGCGGCGGUGGCGACAUCGCUGGCAUUGCAAGCCCCAGCCCGGCGCAAGGCCAAAUAGGGAGACGCGCCCCAACCGCAAGGUUGUGGAAUAAGGUUGCUCGCCUUAAAGUCUCCGGGUAGGCCGCUUGACCGCUUCGGCAACGGAGCGGCUAGAGGAAUGGUCGUCGUUCAUCCUUAACGGAUGAGCACAGGAUCCGGCUUACAACCGGCCUCUUCAU